UACGUAGGGAGCAAGCGUUGUCCGGAAUCAUUGGGCGUAAAGCGCGCGUAGGUGGCCAUGUAAGUCCGCUGUGAAAGUCAAAGGCUCAACCUUUGAAAGCCGGUGGAUACUGCAGGGCUGGAGUCCGGAAGAGGCGAGUGGAAUUCCUGGUGUAGCGGUGGAAUGCGCAGAUAUCAGGAGGAACACCAAUAGCGAAGGCAGCUCGCUGGGACGGUACUGACGCUGAGGCGCGAAAGCAUGGGGAGCGAACAGG
RNAcentral lists this ribosomal RNA (253 nucleotides) under uncultured bacterium. RNAcentral describes it as "partial 16S ribosomal RNA". It matches the Rfam family "Bacterial small subunit ribosomal RNA", at positions 524 to 776 of the family's 1533-position model. The record is from RNAcentral.